UAUAAAGGUGGCAGAAUUAAGUGCAUUAGGUUUAAGCCCUAAAUAUGAAGAUGAAAUUUCUUUUCUUUAUAA
Molecule: transfer RNA, 72 nt
Filed under: Boreotrophon candelabrum
Lineage: Eukaryota; Metazoa; Mollusca; Gastropoda; Neogastropoda; Muricidae
Description: tRNA-Leu
Rfam family: tRNA
About the family: Transfer RNA (tRNA) molecules are approximately 80 nucleotides in length.
Source: RNAcentral